RNAcentral lists this ribosomal RNA (497 nucleotides) under uncultured bacterium. RNAcentral describes it as "partial 16S ribosomal RNA". It matches the Rfam family "Bacterial small subunit ribosomal RNA", at positions 28 to 507 of the family's 1533-position model. The record is from RNAcentral.
GAUGAACGCUGGCGGCGUGCCUAAUACAUGCCAGUCGAGCGAACGGACGAGAAGCAUGCUUCUCUGAUGUUAGCGGCGGACGGGUGAGUAACACGUGGAUAACCUACCUAUAAGACUGGGAUAACUUCGGGAAACCGGAGCUAAUACCGGAUAAUAUUUUGAACCGCAUGGUUCAAAAGUGAAAGACGGUCUUGCUGUCACUUAUAGAUGGAUCCGCGCUGCAUUAGCUAGUUGGUAAGUUAACGGCUUACCACGGCAACGAUGCAUAGCCGACCUGAGAGGGUGAUCGGCCACACUGGAACUGAGACACGGUCCAGACUCCUACGGGAGGCAGCAGUAGGGAAUCUUCCGCAAUGGGCGAAAGCCUGACGGAGCAACGCCGCGUGAGUGAUGAAGGUCUUCGGAUCGUAAAACUCUGUUAUUAGGGAAGAACAUAUGUGUAAGUAACUGUGCACAUCUUGACGGUACCUAAUCAGAAAGCCACGGCUAACUACGUG